RNAcentral lists this transfer RNA (74 nucleotides) under Candidatus Ruminimicrobiellum bubulum. RNAcentral describes it as "tRNA-Pro". It matches the Rfam family "tRNA". Rfam says of the family: Transfer RNA (tRNA) molecules are approximately 80 nucleotides in length. Their secondary structure includes four short double-helical elements and three loops (D, anti-codon, and T loops). The record is from RNAcentral. Lineage: Bacteria; Pseudomonadati; Elusimicrobiota; Endomicrobiia; Endomicrobiales; Endomicrobiaceae. RNAcentral also lists the same sequence under 1 other name.
CGGGGAGUAGCGUAGUUGGCUAACGCGCCUGCUUUGGGAGCAGGAGACCGUGGGUUCAAGUCCCGCCUCCCCGA